This is a non-coding RNA of Danio rerio (zebrafish), 133 nucleotides long. Lineage: Eukaryota; Metazoa; Chordata; Actinopteri; Cypriniformes; Danionidae. The record is from RefSeq and is a predicted model, not a curated record.
UGUCUGUGUGUGUCAGAGGUAGAGAGGAAGAAGGGCUGCACAGAAAUGCUACACGCCACUGUGGAUGUCAAAUCGUUGUCGUUCUAAAAUGCCAUUUAAAAACAAAGACAGUGUAAACAGGGCCUGAGUGUGU